GUCUAGGGGGUCUUAAACUAGUGUAUAUUGAUUAGAUAGCAACACAACUGAGCUCUGUAACCAAAUUAUAAUGUAUCACUACUUUCAUUCUUCAACAAGAUAACUUCAAGAUUUAAGAUGGCAGAUAACUAAAUCGAUUUUACAAAAUAGUACGCCGUUUUCGAAAAUAACCAGGCUAUAAAGUAUAGACCAUGUUGAGGAUGAGUUGAUGGAAGGAGAGCAGAACUGAGUUGAUGGAAGGAGAGCAGAACUGAUCAUUCAAGUACUAAACAAAGUAACCGGUGGUGAACCUCGUGGCACCCGCCAGAGCUCCGGCAGCCGCCUGCUUAUUUUGA
Molecule: non-coding RNA, 335 nt
Organism: Paramuricea clavata
Lineage: Eukaryota; Metazoa; Cnidaria; Anthozoa; Malacalcyonacea; Plexauridae
Source: the annotation of a GenBank genome assembly